GGCUGGUCCAAUGGCAGUGGGUUAUCAGAACUUAUUAACAUUAGUGUCACUAAAGUUGGUAUACCCCCCCCACUGCUAAAUUUGACUGACUUAAA
Cavia porcellus (domestic guinea pig) is the source of this 95-nucleotide unclassified non-coding RNA. It matches the Rfam family "Y RNA". From Rfam's summary of the family: Y RNAs are components of the Ro ribonucleoprotein particle (Ro RNP), in association with Ro60 and La proteins. The Y RNAs and Ro60 and La proteins are well conserved, but the function of the Ro RNP is not known. In humans the RNA component can be one of four small RNAs -- hY1, hY3, hY4 and hY5. The record is from Ensembl. NCBI's taxonomy places the organism in Eukaryota, Metazoa, Chordata, Mammalia, Rodentia, Caviidae.